RNAcentral lists this unclassified non-coding RNA (337 nucleotides) under soil metagenome. Its description in RNAcentral is "partial contains 5.8S ribosomal RNA, internal transcribed spacer 2, and large subunit ribosomal RNA". The stretch from base 1 to 120 matches the Rfam family "5.8S ribosomal RNA", at positions 35 to 154 of the family's 154-position model. The record is from RNAcentral.
GAUGAAGAACGUAGCGAAAUGCGAUAAGUAGUGUGAAUUGCAGAAUUCAGUGAAUCAUCGAAUCUUUGAACGCACAUUGCGCCCCUUGGUAUUCCAUGGGGCAUGCCUGUUCGAGCGUCAUUUGUACCUUCAAGCUCUGCUUGGUGUUGGGUGUUUGUCUCGCCUCUGCGUGUAGACUCGCCUCAAAACAAUUGGCAGCCGGCGUAUUGAUUUCGGAGCGCAGUACAUCUCGCGCUUUGCACUCAUAACGACGACGUCCAAAAGUACAUUUUUACACUCUUGACCUCGGAUCAGGUAGGGAUACCCGCUGAACUUACGCAUAUCAAUAAGCGGAGGA